AAAGGGUGCGUAGGCGGCGCGUUAAGUCUGGGGUGAAAGCCCGUUGCUCAACAACGGAACUGCCCUGGAAACUGGCGCGCUUGAGUACAGACGAGGGUGGCGGAAUGGAUGCUGUAGCGGUGAAAUGCAUAGAUAGCAUCCAGAACCCCGAUUGCGAAGGCAGCUGCCUAGACUGUAACUGACGCUGAGGCACGAAAGCGUGGGGAGCGAACAGGAUUAGAUACCCUGGU
RNAcentral lists this ribosomal RNA (230 nucleotides) under uncultured bacterium. RNAcentral describes it as "partial 16S ribosomal RNA". It matches the Rfam family "Bacterial small subunit ribosomal RNA", at positions 562 to 791 of the family's 1533-position model. The record is from RNAcentral.